GUGGGGAAUAUUGGACAAUGGGCGCAAGCCUGAUCCAGCCAUGCCGCGUGUGUGAAGAAGGCCUUUUGGUUGUAAAGCACUUUAAGCGAGGAGGAGGCUCCUUUAGUUAAUACCUAAAGAGAGUGGACGUUACUCGCAGAAUAAGCACCGGCUAACUCUGUGCCAGCAGCCGCGGUAAUACAGAGGGUGCAAGCGUUAAUCGGAUUUACUGGGCGUAAAGCGCGCGUAGGUGGCCAAUUAAGUCAAAUGUGAAAUCCCCGAGCUUAGCUUGGGAAUUGCAUUCGAUACUGGUUGGCUAGAGUAUGGGAGAGGAUGGUAGAAUUCCAGGUGUAGCGGUGAAAUGCGUAGAGAUCUGGAGGAAUACCGAUGGCGAAGGCAGCCAUCUGGCCUAAUACUGACACUGAGGUGCGAAAGCAUGGGGAGCAAACAGGAUUAGAAACCCGAGUAGUCC
Molecule: ribosomal RNA, 451 nt
Filed under: uncultured bacterium
Lineage: Bacteria
Description: partial 16S ribosomal RNA
Rfam family: Bacterial small subunit ribosomal RNA
Source: RNAcentral